UGGCUCAGGACGAACGCUGGCGGCGUGCUUAACACAUGCAAGUCGAACGGAGAACUUUCUUCGGAAUGUUCUUAGUGGCGAACGGGUGAGUAACGCGUAGGCAACCUGCCCUCUGGUUGGGGACAACAUUCCGAAAGGGAUGCUAAUACCGAAUGAGAUCCUCUUUCCGCAUGGAGAGAGGAUGAAAGAUGGCCUCUACUUGUAAGCUAUCGCCAGAAGAUGGGCCUGCGUCUGAUUAGCUAGUAGGUGAGGUAACGGCUCACCUAGGCGAUGAUCAGUAGCCGGUCUGAGAGGAUGAACGGCCACAUUGGGACUGAGACACGGCCCAAACUCCUACGGGAGGCAGCAGUGGGGAAUCUUCCGCAAUGGACGAAAGUCUGACGGAGCAACGCCGCGUGAGUGAUGAAGGCCUUCGGGUUGUAAAACUCUGUUGUCAGGGACGAAAGCACCGAUCUAUAAUACAUUUUGGUGUUGACGGUACCUGACGAGGAAGCCACGGCUAACUACGUGCCAGCAGCCGCGGUAAUACGUAGGUGGCAAGCGUUGUCCGGAAUUAUUGGGCGUAAAGAGCAUGUAGGCGGGCUUUUAAGUCCGACGUGAAAAUGCGGGGCUUAACCCCGUAUGGCGUUGGAUACUGGAAGUCUUGAGUGCAGGAGAGGAAAGGGGAAUUCCCAGUGUAGCGGUGAAAUGCGUAGAUAUUGGGAGGAACACCAGUGGCGAAGGCGCCUUUCUGGACUGUGUCUGACGCUGAGAUGCGAAAGCCAGGGUAGCAAACGGGAUUAGAUACCCCGGUAGUCCUGGCCGUAAACGAUGGGUACUAGGUGUAGGAGGUAUCGACCCCUUCUGUGCCGGAGUUAACGCAAUAAGUACCCCGCCUGGGGACUACGA
Molecule: ribosomal RNA, 888 nt
Filed under: uncultured bacterium
Lineage: Bacteria
Description: bacterial SSU rRNA
Rfam family: Bacterial small subunit ribosomal RNA
Source: RNAcentral